Molecule: ribosomal RNA, 387 nt
Filed under: uncultured bacterium
Lineage: Bacteria
Description: bacterial SSU rRNA
Rfam family: Bacterial small subunit ribosomal RNA
Source: RNAcentral
GACGAACGCUGGCGGCGUGCCUAACACAUGCAAGUCGAGCGGUAAGGCCCUUUCGGGGGUACACGAGCGGCGAACGGGUGAGUAACACGUGGGUGACCUGCCCUUAGCUCUGGGAUAAGCCUGGGAAACUGGGUCUAAUACCGGAUAUGACUCCAUGACGCAUGUUGUGGGGUGGAAAGCCUUGUGCGGCUAGGGAUGGGCCCGCGGCCUAUCAGCUUGUUGGUGGGGUGAUGGCCCACCAAGGCGACGACGGGUAGCCGGCCUGAGAGGGCGACCGGCCACACUGGGACUGAGACACGGCCCAGACUCCUACGGGAGGCAGCAGUGGGGAAUCUUGCGCAAUGGGCGAAAGCCUGACGCAGCGACGCCGCGUGGGGAUGACGGCCU